UGACGGGGGCCCGCACAAGCGGUGGAGCAUGUGGUUUAAUUCGAAGCAACGCGAAGAACCUUACCAGGUCUUGACAUCCUUUGACCACUCUAGAGAUAGAGCUUCCCCUUCGGGGGCAAAGUGACAGGUGGUGCAUGGUUGUCGUCAGCUCGUGUCGUGAGAUGUUGGGUUAAGUCCCGCAACGAGCGCAACCCUUAUUGUUAGUUGCCAUCAUUUAGUUGGGCACUCUAGCGAGACUGCCGGUGACAAACCGGAGGAAGGUGGGGAUGACGUCAAAUCAUCAUGCCCCUUAUGACCUGGGCUACACACGUGCUACAAUGGGAAGUACAACGAGUUGCGAAGUCGCGAGGCUAAGCUAAUCUCUUAAAGCUUCUCUCAGUUCGGAUUGUAGGCUGCAACUCGCCUACAUGAAGCCGGAAUCGCUAGUAAUCGCGGAUCAGCACGCCGCGGUGAAUACGUUCCCGGGCCUUGUACACACCGCCCGUCACACCACGAGAGUUUGUAACACCCGAAGUCGGUGAGGUAACCUUUUUGGAGCCAGCCGCCUAAGGUGGGAUAGAUGAUUGGGGUGAAGUCGUAACAAGGUAGCCGUAUCGGAAGGUGCGGCUGGAUCACCUCCUUUCUAAGGAA
This 630-nucleotide ribosomal RNA is filed under the name Escherichia coli. RNAcentral describes it as "bacterial SSU rRNA". It matches the Rfam family "Bacterial small subunit ribosomal RNA", at positions 911 to 1533 of the family's 1533-position model. Lineage: Bacteria; Pseudomonadati; Pseudomonadota; Gammaproteobacteria; Enterobacterales; Enterobacteriaceae. The record is from RNAcentral.